Molecule: transfer RNA, 76 nt
Filed under: Escherichia coli
Lineage: Bacteria; Pseudomonadati; Pseudomonadota; Gammaproteobacteria; Enterobacterales; Enterobacteriaceae
Description: tRNA-Thr
Rfam family: tRNA
About the family: Transfer RNA (tRNA) molecules are approximately 80 nucleotides in length. Their secondary structure includes four short double-helical elements and three loops (D, anti-codon, and T loops).
Source: RNAcentral
GCCGAUUUAACUUAGCAGACAAAGUAACUGACUUGUAAUCAGCAAGUCACCAGUUCGAUAUCGGUAGUCGGCACCA